Molecule: long non-coding RNA, 2491 nt
Filed under: Lytechinus variegatus (green sea urchin)
Lineage: Eukaryota; Metazoa; Echinodermata; Echinoidea; Temnopleuroida; Toxopneustidae
Description: uncharacterized LOC121430378
Source: RNAcentral
GGUGAUGGUGACGAUGGUGAUGAUGACGAUAUUGACGAUGAUGACGGUGUUGGUGGUUUGUUAGAAUGUUUCUGAUGGUGAGGGUGACGAAUUACCAAUCAUGAUAAGGUUUCUGACCAUGGUAGCUAUUAUAUAAUUCAAAGAUGCUUUGAAUGCAAUUUUGCAGUAAUUUACACCACAAUCAUUAUAGUUCCUUGAUAUUUGAUCAAGUCCAGAUCAAAUACCAUAUUUGAGUAAAUAGAUUUCCAUGAAAUUAUAAUUGGCGUCGACCUCCAUUUCAAUAGAUUACAUUGAGGUAUAUCUCCACACAUAUUCAUUUCGUAUUUUUUUCAAAUUAAUCAUUGCAAGUGUACACCAUAAAUAAUCGUUAUUCGUGAUCUGACUUGUACGUCGAACAAUCGAGAAGGGUGUGUGUGAGUUUUUGUGACAAUUGUGUGAUUACACGGCAAUAUUGGUAUUCACUGAUCAUCGACCAUAUCUUCAAUGCGUGAGCACGGUGUCACUGUGAGGUUAAUACUUGCUGAGAGAACAUAUCACGAUACAUUGUCGACCAACGAACAACGUCGAGCUAGGUAAAAGAUAUCAAACAGUUGGGUGGUCUUACACAAAUAUUCGACAUUGGCAUAAGGCAAGGAAGCGAAGUAAGGAUGAGUCAAUAUCAUCAACAGAGUGGAAGGGACCCAGGUGGCAGAAAAAAUGAACCUUCAGAACAUGAUCAGGUAAAGAUAAAGGUGGACUUUAACGGGACAAAAAAAUCCUUAGAAGUAGUCUUGGAUUGGACCCAAGACUUCCUGAUUGAGCAGAUCGCAGCCCUUAUCAACGUAGAUAUAAGUCAAUUUUACGUGACUUUUGAGAGUAAGAAGUUGCAUGGUGCCAAAAUGAUAUUUCAUGUUGGAAUACGGGAUGGUAAAACAGUAUAUGUCAAUUUGCGACUGCGAGGUGGGCUUAAAGUUAUAUUUUAAUGAUAUAAUAAUGUACUCGGGAGCCGGUAGUGCAUCUUUUCUCAAUGCUAUCAUUCGCACUCCUAUUUCCACAAGUAAGAUUUACACUGCCCCACUCCAGAAAAACGAUAGCUGCAGAUGAUAUUAUUUUUUCUAGCGUUUACUUCACUCAUUCAAAAUAAUUUGGUUUAACUCUGUAAAUUCAUACUAUUAAGUACAUAGAUAAACAUAGUGAAACGAUUCUCCACGUUUUAAUGAUUUUUCUUGUCGGUUCUCUGAUGUAUUUUUCUUAUGUAUUUGAAUAAUAUGUAUAUCUUAGACAUGGUUAUAUUCUCCAAUUGAAUUAAAUUUCCUUUGCAUUUAUUACAGAUUGAACAAACAAAAUAUAUAACAGAUAUAGGAGUGACAUUAAGUUUGAUACCAAGUAAUGAGGUGAUUAGUCACAGGAAAUUUCAUCUAAUUUACUGGAAUUUUAGUCAUCGAAUGAUCAUAAUGGAAAUGAUUUUAUUACAUGAAUAAAGCUUCUUAAUUCCGUCAUCACCCAUUCCACACUAUUGGUCAAACACCCAGCUCUAAAAACUGCUGUAUAUUUUAUAGAACGAUUUAUUCUUACAUCAUAUACUGGAUCUCACCAUUCUAUAUAAUGGCGCUAUAUAGUUUCAGGGGCUGAAAGCUCUUUUCAAAGGUGGCGGACACAAUUGAGUUUACCAUUUUUCUUUGUAAAUAUAUAUAUUUACACACACAUAUGUACGAGAGACUAGUCGAACCGAUACCCCUUUUCCUACCCAAGUUCUUAACCAAAAUAUAUCGAUAUGAUAUAUAUUUCGAAAUUCAAGGAUACAUGUUUGAUUACGAUUUUGAAUGAUGCAUUUUAUUCCAUCAUAAAAGAGCACAAAUAGUGGGGAUAUUUUAUAUUGUGUCCCUCUAUCCCCUUUGGUAUUUUCGCCCAUGUAUAGUUCACUGCAAAAGUUCAGCCAUAUGUUAAUAUUAAAUUGUUCAUUAGUGAUAAUGUUCAACUGGUAUUUGAUUUUUAAAGUUUUGUCAUGAAUCGAUUGUUUGGUACAAAUGCAUUGCUUUACUGUGAUAAAUUGAUAGAAUGUCUAGUAAUCAAACUUAUUGUGACAACCCAAUAUAAUGAAAAGGGUUCAGAUAGAGAUUAGAUAUUUUUCAAUUAAAUGCCAUUUAAUCUGCAUGCAAAUGUAUAUACAUGAUGACACAUGUAAGUGGUAGUUAAGGUGUUUAAUGUGUGAAAAUAAAUGGAAAUGUAUUCAUGAGGUUGAUUGCCUGGAGUCGCUUGAAUUCUUAAAAUUAUUAAUACUAUAAAAGAUAACUAUCGAUUAGUAUUCAUCUUUUUAUAAACUUUUAUACACAGCCCCCAACAUUCGAAUAUAAAUGAUACAUUAAUUUGUAUUGAAUUGCACACACUUUCUAUUGUUUAUACACUCAUUUAAAUUUAUAUACCAAAGGGUUUGCUCUUCUUUGUAAUAAGUUUAUCUAUUUGUUCCUAUGUGUGUCGUAAUGAUUUUUUCAGAUUAAAUGGUUUAGUUCCC